RNAcentral lists this transfer RNA (76 nucleotides) under Legionellales bacterium. Its description in RNAcentral is "tRNA-Ala". It matches the Rfam family "tRNA". Rfam says of the family: Transfer RNA (tRNA) molecules are approximately 80 nucleotides in length. Lineage: Bacteria; Pseudomonadati; Pseudomonadota; Gammaproteobacteria; Legionellales. The record is from RNAcentral.
GGGGCCAUAGCUCAGCUGGGAGAGCGCCUGCUUUGCACGCAGGAGGUCGACGGUUCGAUCCCGUCUGGCUCCACCA